Molecule: ribosomal RNA, 255 nt
Filed under: uncultured bacterium
Lineage: Bacteria
Description: partial 16S ribosomal RNA
Rfam family: Bacterial small subunit ribosomal RNA
Source: RNAcentral
UACGUAGGUGGCAAGCGUUGUCCGGAAUUAUUGGGCGUAAAGCGCGCGCAGGCGGCUUUUUAAGUCUGAUGUGAAAGCCCACGGCUCAACCGUGGAAGGUCAUUGGAAACUGAAAGGCUUGAGUACAGAAGAGGAAAGCGGAAUUCCACGUGUAGCGGUGAAAUGCGUAGAGAUGUGGAGGAACACCAGUGGCGAAGGCGGCUUUCUGGUCUGUAACUGACGCUGAGGCGCGAAAAGCGUGGGGGAGCAAACAGG